RNAcentral lists this ribosomal RNA (446 nucleotides) under uncultured bacterium. RNAcentral's name for it is "bacterial SSU rRNA". It matches the Rfam family "Bacterial small subunit ribosomal RNA", at positions 329 to 792 of the family's 1533-position model. The record is from RNAcentral.
AGCCAGACUCCUACGGGAGGCAGCAGUGGGGAAUAUUGCACAAUGGGGGAAACCCUGAUGCAGCGACGCCGCGUGAGCGAUGAAGUAUUUCGGUAUGUAAAGCUCUAUCAGCAGGGAAGAAAAUGACGGUACCUGACUAAGAAGCCCCGGCUAACUACGUGCCAGCAGCCGCGGUAAUACGUAGGGGGCAAGCGUUAUCCGGAUUUACUGGGUGUAAAGGGAGCGUAGACGGCAAUGCAAGCCAGAUGUGAAAGCCCGGGGCUCAACCCCGGGACUGCAUUUGGAACUGUGUAGCUGGAGUGUCGGAGAGGCAGGCGGAAUUCCUAGUGUAGCGGUGAAAUGCGUAGAUAUUAGGAGGAACACCAGUGGCGAAGGCGGCCUGCUGGACGAUGACUGACGUUGAGGCUCGAAAGCGUGGGGAGCAAACAGGAUUAGAUACCCUGGUA